RNAcentral lists this ribosomal RNA (419 nucleotides) under uncultured bacterium. Its description in RNAcentral is "bacterial SSU rRNA". It matches the Rfam family "Bacterial small subunit ribosomal RNA", at positions 380 to 816 of the family's 1533-position model. The record is from RNAcentral.
CAGCUGACGGAGCAUACUGCGUGGAGAUGAAGGCUCGUGGGCUGUAAACUCCUUUUCCUAGAGAAGAAGUUCUGACGGUAUCUAGGGAAUAAGCAUCAGCUAACUGCGUGCCAGCAGCUGCGGUAAUACGUGGGAUGCAAGCGUUAUCCGGAUUUAUUGGGCGUAAAGCGUCUGUAGGUGGCUUCGCAAGUUUGAUGUUAAAUCAUUCAGCUUCACUGAAUUUAAGCAUCAAAAACUAUGGAGCUUGAGUGUGGUAGAGGAAGAGGGAAUUCCCUGUGGAGCGGUGAAAUGCGUAGAGAUAGGGAAGAACACCAAUGGCGAAAGCACUCUUCUGGGCCUGCACUGACACUGAGAGACGAAAGCUAGGGGAGCGAGUAGGAUUAGAUACCCUAUUAGUCCUAGCCGUAAACGAUGGGAAC